This is an RNA transcript of Malurus melanocephalus (red-backed fairy wren), 6762 nucleotides long. It is a transcript of the gene named tubulin folding cofactor E like, with no coding region annotated. Lineage: Eukaryota; Metazoa; Chordata; Aves; Passeriformes; Maluridae. The record is from RefSeq and is a predicted model, not a curated record. The transcript has 10 exons.
CGUCACGUGAUGUUUGGAGCUGCUUCCGGGUCGAUGCGGGACGCGGCGGCCGGGCCUGGAAGUCCAAGAAGGGAGCAUGGACCAGCCCAGUGGAAGGAGUUUCAUGCAAGUUCUUUGUGAGAAAUACAGCCCUGAGAACUUCCCCUAUCGCCGUGGGCCUGGCAUGGGGGUGCACGUCCCUGCAACUCCCCAGGGCUCACCCAUGAAAGACCGCCUGAACCUGCCGAGUGUGCUGGUGCUCAACAGCUGUGGCAUCACCUGUGCCGGGGAUGAGAACGAGAUCGCCGCYUUCUGCGCCCACGUCUUUGAGCUCGACCUCUCUGACAACAAACUGGAAGACUGGCACGAGGUCAGUAAAAUUGUGUCCAACGUCCCCCACUUGGAGUUUCUAAACCUGAGUUCCAACCCUCUCAGUUUGUCCGUUUUAGAGAGAAGUUGCGCUGGGUCUUUCGCUGGCGUCCGCAAACUUGUGCUCAACAACAGCAAAGCUUCCUGGGAAACAGUGCACACCAUCCUGCAGGAAUUACCAGACUUGGAGGAGCUCUUCCUGUGCCUUAAUGACUACGAAACAGUGUCUUGUUCUCCAGUUUGCUGUCAGUCUCUCAAGCUACUCCACAUAACUGACAAUAAUCUUCAAGACUGGACUGAAAUUCGAAAAUUGGGAAUUAUGUUUCCAUCACUGGACACACUUAUCCUGGCUAACAACAACCUCACCACUAUUGAAGAGUCAGAAGAUUCCCUAGCAAGGCUCUUCCCCAAUUUAAGAUCCAUCAACUUGCACAAGUCAGGUCUGCAUUGCUGGGAAGACAUUGACAAGUUAAAUUCUUUCCCCAAGCUCGAGGAAGUGAAAUUGCUGGGAAUUCCUCUGCUGCAGUCCUACACCACYGAGGAGCGCAGGAAGCUGCUAAUAGCCAGGUUGCCCUCCAUCACCAAACUCAACGGCAGCAUCGUGGCCGACGGGGAGCGCGAGGACUCGGAGCGYUUCUUCAUCCGCUACUACAUGGAGUACCCGGAGGAGGAGGUCCCUUUCAGGUAYCACGAGCUGGUCACCAAGUACGGGAAGCUGGAGCCCUUGGCAGUGGUGGACCUGCGGCCSCAGAGCAGCGUCAAGGUGGAGGUGCACUUCCAGGACAAGGUGGAGGAGAUGUCCAUCCGCCUCGAUCAGACUGUGGCAGAGCUGAAGAAGCACUUAAAAACUGUGGUGCAGCUGUCAACCAGCAACAUGCUGCUCUUCUACUUGGACCAGGAGGCUCCUUUUGGUCCCGAGGAGAUGAAAUACAGCUCGCGGGCRCUGCAUUCCUACGGCAUCCGGGAUGGAGAUAAAAUUUACGUGGAGCCCCGAAUGAAAUAGCCUUUUUGCCCACACCCACACGCCCCCACACACCCACACACAUGCAUUGAGGAGUUUUUGCAAGGUUUUUAUUUCGGUUGGUUGGUUGAGGUUUGGUUGUGUUUCUGUAGCAGGUAAUUUCUUAGCCCGGAGGAAGUGCCCUGAUCUGAGAACCAUGCCCACCAUCCGCUGCAGGUGACCUUGAGGUGACAAUUGACUUCAGGACGUGUGUUUCAGUGUGGGCAAUACCUUGAUGUUUCCUUUGAUGCUCCGGUAUACUCGUGAUUUGGCAUGAAUGGUCAGUUGUUCAAGCUAAACAAUGCCAGGGUCCAUAAGGGAGGAGACAGCUCGGUGCAGAAUUUGACCUGUUGUUUUCUUUUCCAAAAUUUUUUGGUGUUUUGCUCCACCAGAGCUCCCUUUGGCCUAGCUAUCUGACUGUGGCUCGAUCUUGCUGUAGUAUUUUCUUGCAGCUUGGUGCUGUCUCAACCUUUUGUUGUGCUCGAGUUCACAGAGAAGAUCUCCAUCAGUAUUUCUGCUUGAUUCAGAGCUCAGGUACUUUAGUGCAUCCACUUCACUCUACUGGCUKGGUUUCUGUGAGUGCACAGAAUGGGGGAAAGAAAAACAACUUCAGAGAAAGAAACUUUCUUUUCAAAACUCACGCUCUAUAUCCACCUGAUUUGGGGGGGAAAAGAGAGGUUUUGAUUGCUGUACUUAUCUGAUGCAGCAUCUGUAGCCUGUGGGGAUAAAGGGURUGUAGAAAAGUGAAUUUUGGGAUGUGGUGGAUGAGCGCUGUGUUGGAAGGGCUUUCAGAGCAGCAGGUCAACAAGGGGUUGAAGAGCAGCUUCCCCCGUUGGCCGUGGUCCAUCCUGAUGUUGAAGAGAUCCUCCAUGCACUUCACCUUGUACCAGUGGGUACUGCAAGUGGAAUGGCUAAAAUUCCUCUCCUGGGAGAGAGGAAGAGUCAAGUUGAAGUUUGUGUUUGUUGCUGUUGCACCAGUUCAAACCUAGCACUUUUSCCCGGGGCCCCUGGCCGGGGGUCCCUGCGCAGGGUCCGAACUCGCAGGGAGGAUGUGUUGGCUCGGAUCAGCCUCUGGAAGUUGAGGAACAAAGCAGCUGGACUCACGUCGGGUGUUCAGCAGGUUUUCACUCUUUCUCUUGGCUUCCCCCACGCGCCCCUCGUAGGCAUCGCGUGCUGCUGCUUCACGUAGUCCCUGUUUUCUUCUGCAGAGCAGAUCCCUUUUGCUGGGCAGUGAAAUCCUCCUUCCUUUCUCUCUCUUGUUUCGCUUUCCUGUGUCCUCCCUGCUCCAAGUUCGAGACUUUCCCUAUUUCCUAGGUACAAGCAGCUGCACAGAAUUUUUUGGAGCCGUGCAGCGAGGGCUCUAGUUACAUGUGAACUCCUGACCUUCAUUUUGAAAUGCUCCCUUUAUCCCCACGUGCACUUUCUUUCCCAGGAUGCUUUUGCCCACAUCACCGAGCUCCUUUGGUAUUCUUGGAGUUGUGUAUUUCUCUUCACRUUUUACCUGGCUUGUGGGGUGGGGUAAAUGGGGAGGGGAUAAAAUAUUGUUAUCUCAUAGUCUUCAGGUUUAGGAUAUGGGGAUUGUUCAGAGGGGAUAGUUCCUUAUCCAAAGUAAGGGUUAAAAUGGGAGGAUUUUAAACAAUUUAUUAAUUUGUGCCUCGUCCCCCUGCCAAAAAUAUCAAUCUCUUGGCCCCGUUGAGAUGARCAAUAGGGAAGGGAGCAAGAUUUUCCAUAGGUAGCAUAGAUUUUCCAUAGAUCCAUGGUACCUGAAAACUAAAUAGCAGGGAGAUAGCGGCAGUGUAACAUAAAAUGAUGCUUUUAUAAGCUAGAGCUUUACUGAAGAUGUAUUUUCCAUUUGGGCAGCGAAAAUAAUUUACUGCCUGAUAGCAGAACCUUUAAGCCAACUCUUCUGUAUGAUAUAUACAUACCUACCRAUAGGAGAAGUUGUGGUUAAUAAGAUAUUUUGUUAUAAAGCAAAGUUUUAUGAAGAUAUGGUUGUUUAAUAUUAGAAGCCUAUUUCAGCCCUUGACCUCCAGUGUAAGUAGGUUAUCCCUGAGUGGCUGCAGAGUCCGAGGCAAGCGACCUAUGGGGAUCCAAAAGUAUCUCUGACCUAAUUCUCCAGAGCAGUAAUUGCCUCUGUGGGUGUAUUUAUGGCAUUGUACCUGCUAUUAAUGAGAUGCUAUAACUCUUGACCAACUUCCUCAGCACAAUUAAGUGUCUGGGUCUCAGAGAAGGGAAUAAACAAAGGCYGUUAAAGAGUUGAAUGGGAUGAUAAAGAAGAGUCAAGUAUGUGCUUUUAAGUUUGUGUGCCCACUAAAAAUUGGGCUGCUCCUGGAGGGAUCGGUGCUGUCACCGGCUCAGAACUGUCAGUAAAUCCUGAUUUUAUUUGUGGUGGGAACUGGAAGAUGGAAAAAGAGAGCACGGAAGGUUGACAAGUGCUGGGGAUUUGGUGCUGACACCCAAACUUGCUCCCCUGCUCUGUUCAGGUCAGGAUACGAAAUCAGCGCCUUGCCACUUCUUCAGGGGAAGGUUUUUCUCAAGGCAUUCACCUUGUGUGCAGAUAGGGGAGCACUCGUGGGGUAGAAACCAAAAAUCUUGGUUGGCUUCCCAAGAAGGACUCRCUCCCAAAACCCAGAGAGAGUUUGUGUGUCCACAUGAUCAGCUGUGGAAAGUGGGACCAAAUGGCACACAGUGACAUGGCAAAAGUCCCCAAAUCACAUUCCCUUUGUGAUACUUCAUGGGGAAAGGCUCUUGUGUUUGUGCCACCCAAGAGGGGACCAUGUCCUGGGGAACGAGGAGACGGCUCUGAGUGGGAGAGGAGGUUUGAGUGCUGAGUGAGGCUCCAGACGUGGCAGCAGGUUUGAUUUAAAACCAGCAGGGGCUGUGUCCAGGCAUUGCACCCGUGUACCCGCUCCAGCUAAAGCUCCCUGGGUCUGUCACAUCCCCUUGAGAAAACAAAACAGAUUUGCAAGCUUCCCUGGCUUCUGUGUCCUUCUAUCCGAGGGCUACUUUUGUCAAGAGCUGUUGUGUUGUUCUUGCUCGUUCAUGCAUACAAGUCCACCAUGGGCAGCCUGCACAGCGGGCAGAGCACCUGCCCCCCGAGGACUUCGGUGACAGCUACAUACCAAAGUGUCACACGGCUCCGUGUGCUCAGUUAGACGCUGUGCUCUUGUGUUUUUGGAUACGUUCCUGUUGAAUAUCCACGUUUUUUGGCCAGAUGUUUGGGGCGGAUCGCGUAGCGGGCGGGGUUGUGAAURUGCACGGGGUGCUGGCUGUCCUCUGCUCCCUGCCUGGGUUUGGAAGGCCGUUUUUUGGCAGCUGCAGGUGUGACCCAUGGUGGCUCGGAGGAGCUGCUGCUGGGGAGAGGCUGUCCCUGUGCCUCCUCGGGUCUGGAAUCUGACRGAGGCGCCGCGGCGGCUCUGCCUCCUCGCUCGUCAGUGCGAUUCUGKAGGUUCUGUUGGUGUGCAAGAUUUGAGAAUGCAAACGAGGUGCUGGAAGCAGCCCAGAGGCUAAAAUAUGUAUUCCAGGCAGCUGUGCCUCCCUCGUUUGGAUGUGGCACUUUUGUAGGCAGCAGAGAGACGCCUUCCCCAGAGCAACGUUAGAGGGGCUUCAGCCAUCUCGGGCCUUUGCCUCUGUGAUUGCUUUUCUGCAGUUACUGGAAACAUCAAAUAUAAUUUAAACAUGAAGAUCUAUCCUUGCUCCCUAUUAAUGUUACAUCCAUAUGUAAUUUCAAAGAAGAACRACUGUAAGUCCAUCUGGUUUUUUAUUCUGGUUUCUCUCACAGGGGAUACACCUCCCGCUCCCACAAUUUGCCUUUGGUUUGCUCGCAGACUUAGCGGUGGAAUUCAGGCCAAAAUAGGUCAUUGGUUUGGAUCAGUUCAAUAAACUUAUGUGCGGGUGAAAAGUGCUGGGAUGUUUUUGUCCUGCUGAUGGUUGUGGUGUCUGUCCCAUGAGCUCAGGCACAGCCACCUCACCUGUGCAAGGUGCCACCCGUCGAAGGGAGAAGUCACAGAGCUGGAUGAGCUCUUCCUCCUCUUCUGCACUGCAUUUCUCCAUGACUGGGGCUCAUCCCCACUCCCAGGUCAGGCAUGAGAGGAAGAUUUCUGCCAGAAGAAUUAAAAAAAGAAGAAGUGUUUGGUUGUUCAGCUCCGAUGUGUUCAGCACUGCAUGAUGGGAACAUCCCCUGCCAAAAGAAAAUAGGUUGGAAGACAAAGUCUUCCCCAAAGAGACAGUGAAACCUAAUCAAACUUCAUCAGUGUACACUUGCCCAGGACAAACAGGACCAGAAUAUUAAACUGACAAAGGAGCAGAGGGAAACCUAUUUUCCCCAGUUUUUUCUGUGUUACAAAACAGAAUGAGGCGAGUCAAUUGAUUUUCCUGGAGCUGGUAGUGUUUAAAAUGUAUGGGAGGGGAGGGAAGAACCAGGGUGCAGGCUGGAAGUAAUCUGCCCCUGGAAUAUCAGUCAGUGCUGAUAUCCCCCUGCCCUCCCGAAAUAGCUGUUGGUUUAGAAGAGGGUAAAAAUAAAUUUGAAAAUGAAAGAUUCCUGCUAGCAAGGCCAUGCUUGGAGGAUGGAGGGAAAGCAGAUUCUGGGAUCAGCUGUGGAGGCAGUGAGCUGCCUGGUGCCCUGAUGUGCAUAAAGAGACUGCUGAGGUAAGAAACAGCAUUUUUUGGGGGAAAUUUACUGAAUAACACUGCCAGGAGCACCCAGGGGAGAAAGUCUGGGCUUCCUGUUGGGCUGCUGGCAUUUCUGUCUCCUCUCUGUUCCUGACACAGGGUGGGGAGCACAAGAGGAAUGGCGACCUCCCAGCAGGGAAAACGGGCAGUAAAACCUCCCACCCAAAAUGUCAGAAGGGUAAAUCAUGCCAAAGUCAGGCUGUUUUCCCACUGCUGGCGUUGGAGCAGUGCCUGUCUGACCUGAGCCUUGCUGCAGGCUGGGAAAAUCAGCUCUAACGUGGCUCUGCUGCUGGAGCCUUCACUCCUUGGCUGCUAUUCCCACUCUCCCUCUCUUCUCCAACAGGGAUAUGAACCGACUCACAGCAGCUGAAAUAUUUUUUCGGGUACAGAYUGGGCUCAAAUGAAGGGUUUUGGUCAGGCCACACUUUUACCCUUCAAGUUAGUGAUGUAUCUGUCAGCCCAGAUGCCAGAGGCAGGGAAAAUCCCUGUGGAAACUGCAAUUGUACGAGUGAAAAUGAUAAUAACGCUCACAUCAGUCCCCCAGUGAAACUUCCCACCACCACCAGUCCUUCCAGAGAAGGUGGAAAUGGGAACAGCAAGGAAAYCCUCUCCAGCAGAUUGGGAGUGAGCUGGACUUAGGUGAGUUUUGCCUUUUCCACCUGUAAAAGCAAGACUUGGAUGGCAAAGCAGCUCCAUUGAAACUUCAGGGCAGCGCCUUUGAACGGCGCUUUAAGCCUAGCACU